This 215-nucleotide non-coding RNA is filed under the name Lachnoclostridium sp. An131. The record is from RNAcentral. Lineage: Bacteria; Bacillati; Bacillota; Clostridia; Lachnospirales; Lachnospiraceae. RNAcentral also lists the same sequence under 1 other name.
UUCGAACCAGCCGCUGCAAGUUCCGCAAGGAUUUAAAGAGAAAUCGGUGAGAAUCCGGUACGAUCCCGUCACUGUAUGAGGGAGCUUCGAAGCAGAAUGCCACUGGGAGACGCCUGUCUGCCGGCAGAGAUGCCUGGGAGCGGAAGGAAGGCCUGGGAAGGCGCUUUGAAGCGGUGAGCUUAAGUCAGGAGAACUGCUUGCAGGCGCUUCAGGUG